CUCAAUCGAAGCAUCCCUGACAGAUGGCCAUCUAACCUCUGCUUAAAGAUCUCCAAAGAAGGAGACUCCACUGUACUCCAAGAGCAUAAUCUGUCCUGGAAGCACUGAUUCCCUUCUAUUCUCUUAUUCAUCCAACCUUUACUGUGAGCACAAACAGCUAUCUCUCUUGGAAUUUAGGAACAGAAGCCUGAGACUCCUCCAGCAGAAUAAAGAGGAAGUUGGAUGCCAAGCAGCUCACCUGUGAAUUCAGGGAGACAUCCCUGUAGACUGACAGUCACUGGACCCUACACUGGUUUCUGCUUUUUAGAAGAAUCUCUCCCUUGCAACUGCAUCUGCCCUACUUCCACACCUUGCUUGUUCUCAAAGAAAAAAAGUCAUGCAUCUUCCACAAGGAAUUCUAUGAGCUUUUGCCUUUCCAUUAAACCACACUGAAAACAUAA
Long non-coding RNA from Sceloporus undulatus (fence lizard), 440 nucleotides. RefSeq lists it as uncharacterized. The transcript is spliced from 2 exons. NCBI's taxonomy places the organism in Eukaryota, Metazoa, Chordata, Lepidosauria, Squamata, Phrynosomatidae. The record is from RefSeq and is a predicted model, not a curated record.